This 397-nucleotide ribosomal RNA is filed under the name uncultured bacterium. RNAcentral's name for it is "partial 16S ribosomal RNA". It matches the Rfam family "Bacterial small subunit ribosomal RNA", at positions 523 to 918 of the family's 1533-position model. The record is from RNAcentral.
AUACAUAGGUGACAAGCGUUAUCCGGAUUUACUGGGCGUAAAGGGCGUGUAGGCGGUCUUGCAAGUCAGAAGUGAAAUUCCUGAGCUCAACUCGGGCGCUGCUUCUGAAACUGCAGGACUUGAGUGCUGGAGGGGAUAGCGGAAUUCCUAGUGGAGCGGUAAAAUGCGCAGAUAUUAGGAAGAACACCGGUGGCGAAGGCGGCUAUCUGGACAGUAACUGACGCUGAGGCGCGAAAGCGUGGGGAGCAAACAGGAUUAGAUACCCGGGUAGUCCACGCUGUAAACGAUGAAUACUAGGUGUAGGGGGUAUCGACUCCCUCUGUGCCGCAGUUAACACAAUAAGUAUUCCGCCUGGGGAGUACGGCCGCAAGGUUGAAACUCAAAGGAAUUGACGGGG